This 433-nucleotide ribosomal RNA is filed under the name uncultured bacterium. RNAcentral describes it as "bacterial SSU rRNA". It matches the Rfam family "Bacterial small subunit ribosomal RNA", at positions 30 to 507 of the family's 1533-position model. The record is from RNAcentral.
AUUGAACGCUGGCGGCAUGCCUAACACAUGCAAGUCGAACGAGACCUUCGGGUCUAGUGGCGCACGGGUGCGUAACGCGUGGGAACCUGCCUUUAGGUUCGGAAUAACAGUGAGAAAUUACUGCUAAUACCGGAUGAUGUCUUCGGACCAAAGAUUUAUCGCCUUUAGAUGGGCCCGCGUUGGAUUAGCUAGUUGGUGGGGUAAAGGCCUACCAAGGCGACGAUCCAUAGCUGGUCUGAGAGGAUGAUCAGCCACACUGGGACUGAGACACGGCCCAGACUCCUACGGGAGGCAGCAGUGGGGAAUAUUGGACAAUGGGCGAAAGCCUGAUCCAGCAAUGCCGCGUGAGUGAUGAAGGCCUUAGGGUUGUAAAGCUCUUUUACCCGAGAUGAUAAUGACAGUAUCGGGAGAAUAAGCUCCGGCUAACUCCGUG